Molecule: unclassified non-coding RNA, 65 nt
Organism: Cricetulus griseus (Chinese hamster)
Lineage: Eukaryota; Metazoa; Chordata; Mammalia; Rodentia; Cricetidae
Product: predicted gene, 27435
Source: Ensembl
CUGUUUGCCUGUCUGGGGUCACUCCAUGUGGGCACUGUAGCUUUUGUCUGCUUCUGGACAAUUGG